Molecule: ribosomal RNA, 493 nt
Filed under: uncultured bacterium
Lineage: Bacteria
Description: bacterial SSU rRNA
Rfam family: Bacterial small subunit ribosomal RNA
Source: RNAcentral
GAUUAACGCUGGCGGUAUGCCUAACACAUGCAAGUCGAACGGAAUACUAAUUAAGAGAAUCUCACACUAGUGAGAGGUUCUCACGAGUAGUAUUUAGUGGCGGACGGGUGAGUAACACGUUGGAACCUGCCCCGAAGUGGGGAAUAACUGCUCGAAAGAGUAGCUAAUACCCCAUAGUAUCCGGUUUAUCCGGAUUAAAGAUUUAUCGCUUUGGGAGGGCCUGCGUCUGAUUAGCUAGUUGGUGAGGUAAAAGCUCACCAAGGCGACGAUCAGUAGCUGGUUCGAGAGGAUGACCAGCCACACUGGGACUGAGAUACGGCCCAGACUCCUACGGGAGGCAGCAGUGAGGAAUCUUCCACAAUGGGCGCAAGCCUGAUGGAGCAAUACCGCGUGCAGGAAGACGCUUUUCGGAGUGUAAACUGCUUUUGUCGUCGAAGAUUAUGACUGUAGACGAAGAAUAAGGACCGGCUAACUACGUGCCAGCAGCCGCGGU